Notothenia coriiceps (black rockcod) is the source of this 320-nucleotide long non-coding RNA. RefSeq lists it as uncharacterized. NCBI's taxonomy places the organism in Eukaryota, Metazoa, Chordata, Actinopteri, Perciformes, Nototheniidae. The record is from RefSeq and is a predicted model, not a curated record. The transcript is spliced from 2 exons.
CGUCCUCUCCUCCACCCACCAGGCCGAGCACCACCCUGUUGGAGCCGGGGAGCCCCGAGGCGGCGACCUCGUCCGUGGGCACGGUGGAGGACUGGCUGCAGGCCAUCGGCAUGGAGAAAUACCGGGACAACUUCACCGCCGCCGGAUACACCUCUCCAGAGGCCGUGGUGCACAUGACACAAGAGGACAUGGGGCGCAUCGGCAUCUCCUCGUCCGCACACCAGAACAAAAUCCUGACCAGCGUCCAGGGAAUGCUGUCCCAAAUGCAACAGAUGCAAGGCAGAAUGGUUCCCGUCUGAGCGAUUUCAACAAGAAAUAAA